Prunus avium (sweet cherry) is the source of this 610-nucleotide non-coding RNA. The record is from RefSeq and is a predicted model, not a curated record. Lineage: Eukaryota; Viridiplantae; Streptophyta; Magnoliopsida; Rosales; Rosaceae.
AGAGCCUCCCUUCCUCCAUUCCACAGGGAUUUAUAUAUGUGUGAAUAUGUGUUUGUUCCUCCAUUGUUUAUGAGAUUCUGAAUUAGAGAAAUCCAUUUGAUUGAAGCUUGGAAACAAAGCGUGUAUGGAGAAACAGAUUUUGCUUGUGACUCUGUCGAUUUGAGUUUCUGUUUGGAUGCUGUGAAAGCUGAGACAAAGGGAUUUGAAAAAGGGGAGCAUAACUUAUCUGGAUUGGCAAUUUCAAUAUACAAUGUGAAGGGUAACAUUUGACGAUGGGUAGAGGCUGAGGACAAUGGAUAGGCAUGUGAAAUAGUAGUUUUUCUUUGAGAAAGCCAAUACUUUAAUUUCACCCAGUAAGAUGACAUGGCAAAUAGGUACUGCAGCUUAUAUCAAGUGCAGCUCAAAGACCCAGUUGGUAGACAACUUAGAAGAAUAUAAGAUCCAUUUGACCAAGAUGACUUAGAACACUACUCCAAGAUGACAGCUGAAUGUGAAGAAUAAGUACAAAUUGUGGAAGAUACACAACCAUAGGUUAAUGCUUGGGAUAUGGUAUUUUGUAAUUAUAGGUUAUAAUGUUAUAAAUAUGGUAUUUUGUAUGGAUAUAGUAGGA